CCUCUCUUACUAUCCUCUCUCUCCUACUCGCUCUCCUCGCCAUCCGAUCAAAAUCCCCCAAAUCACAUCCCUCUUCUUCUCGCGCCACGUCAUCCAAGCGCACUAAAACCUGUAAUUGUUGCUGUUCCUGUAACGGGUCCAUAGAGAAUUCAGAUUCUUCCUCGGUGGCCAGUAUUACUGGGCACCUCAACGGUGUUGCUUCGGCGGUGGAUAUGGUGGCUGCGGUGUCUGACAAGGUUGCGGAGAGGCAGACAGGGGCGUCUAUGAUGGAGCAGUUGGUGCCUGAGAUUACGACACACGCGCUGAGUUAUUUGGAUUAUCCUAGUCUCUGUAGAUUGUCUAUGACUAAUUCAGUUGAUGCGAAAGGCUGCUAAUGAUGAUAAUGCCUGGAAAGCGCUCUAUCACAAGGAUUUUACAUUGGAACAGGAUACCGUGACACCUGUUAAUGGGUGGAAGGCUUACUAUGCCGCUACAAGAGCCAUUGUGAAUGCCAAUACAGAAUUUUAUAACAUCAUCAAAGAAAGGGCCCUUCCCGCAAUGCGUCGACUUUGGCUUAAUGCCGAUUAUGUGAAGUGCAUUCAUGCAUCUGGGGAACUUUUCUCAGGGUAUAAUGCUGUAAUGCANGGCAGCUCGCAUUUAAUUGGGAUCAAGGGCUAGACUUUCAGGUUAGGGAUGUACGUGCUCGGGUUCUGACCGACAUGGCUUGGGUUACCAUGAAAACCUAUGUUCACAUGGACACUGGGCCAUUUACUGUAACUAAUGUCUUUGAGUUCCAUAAUGGUCGGUGGUACAUGGUGCACCAUCACAACUCAGUGAUGCUUGAUGGAGAUGUCGACCAACAGAUUUUGCAUGCAUUUUAACAAGAGAAAGAAGAGUUGAUACUAUUGAUAACAUUAGUGUUAAUGCAAAAUAGUGGUAUUUAUCAGGAAGAAGUUUCUUGAA
This 942-nucleotide unclassified non-coding RNA is filed under the name Hevea brasiliensis (rubber tree). The record is from RNAcentral. Lineage: Eukaryota; Viridiplantae; Streptophyta; Magnoliopsida; Malpighiales; Euphorbiaceae.